UACGUAGGGUGCGAGCGUUAAUCGGAAUUACUGGGCGUAAAGCGUGCGCAGGCGGUUUUGUAAGUCAGAUGUGAAAUCCCCGAGCUCAACUUGGGAACUGCGUUUGAAACUACAAGACUAGAAUAUGUCAGAGGGGGGUAGAAUUCCACGUGUAGCAGUGAAAUGCGUAGAGAUGUGGAGGAACACCGAUGGCGAAGGCAGCCCCCUGGGUCAAGAUUGACGCUCAUGCACGAAAGCGUGGGGAGCAAACAGG
RNAcentral lists this ribosomal RNA (253 nucleotides) under uncultured bacterium. Its description in RNAcentral is "partial 16S ribosomal RNA". It matches the Rfam family "Bacterial small subunit ribosomal RNA", at positions 524 to 776 of the family's 1533-position model. The record is from RNAcentral.